This 231-nucleotide ribosomal RNA is filed under the name uncultured bacterium. RNAcentral describes it as "partial 16S ribosomal RNA". It matches the Rfam family "Bacterial small subunit ribosomal RNA", at positions 100 to 334 of the family's 1533-position model. The record is from RNAcentral.
CGGGACGGGUGAGUAAUGUCUGGGAAACUGCCUGAUGGAGGGGGGUAACUACUGGAAACGGUAGCUAAUACCGCAUAACGUCGCAAGACCAAAGAGGGGGACCUUCGGGCCUCUUGCCAUCGGAUGUGCCCAGAUGGGAUUAGCUAGUAGGUGGGGUAACGGCUCACCUAGGCGCGAUCCCUAGCUGGUCUGAGAGGAUGCCAGCCACACUGGAACUGAGACACGGUCCAG